GUCUUUGAACGCAAGUUGCGCCCGAAGCCAUUAGGCUGAGGGCACGCCUGCCUGGGUGUCACAAAUCGUUGCCCCAACGCCAAUGCCCGACCAAAAAGGGUGUUGACGGGGCGAAUGUUGACCUCCCGCGAGCAAUGUCUUGCGGUUGGUUGAAAAGCGAGUCCUUCGUGGAGAGCCCCAUGAUAAAUGGUGGAUGAGUAACACUCGAGACCAAUCACGGGCGGCCUUUCCUCGUGCACGACUCACGUGACCCGUGCGUUCUUUCGAACGCUCAUAACGAGACCUCAGGUCAGACGGGGCUACCCGCUGAGUUUAAGCAUAUCAAUAAGCGGAGGAAAAGAAACUAACAAGGAUUCCCUUAGUAACGGCGAGCGAACCGGGAAGAGCCCACCAUGAGAAUCGGUUGCCUUUGGCGUCCGAAUUG
This 424-nucleotide ribosomal RNA is filed under the name Pongamia pinnata (Indian beech tree). Its description in RNAcentral is "eukaryotic LSU rRNA". The stretch from base 280 to 424 matches the Rfam family "Eukaryotic large subunit ribosomal RNA", at positions 1 to 145 of the family's 3401-position model. Lineage: Eukaryota; Viridiplantae; Streptophyta; Magnoliopsida; Fabales; Fabaceae. The record is from RNAcentral.